ACAAACUAAUUAAGUUUAAAAGAUUUAUCCUGUAAAUUAUUUUUUAGCUCUAUUUUUAGUUUUAUAAAUAGUAUAUAUAUUUAAUGCUCUCUAUGCAUGUAUCCAAAAUAUGAUAGGUGUUAAAAAAAUUCCGAAGUAAGCAAACAGGCCUCGCAGCAUCGCCGGUGCUCGACAUGAUGACCAUAAUAAAAAACAUUUAGCACGCGCAAAAUUGCGCCUCACGAUCGAUCAAGCAAAAACUGAAAGCUAGCCGUGCUCAACAGAGUACUCACUGCUAAUGUGUUGACCUCGUCAAUCAUCAAUCGGGUCUUGCUUGCCUUGUUUAGUUCACCUUAAAAAUCAAAAAAAAAAUUCAAGAUUUCUUAUCACAUCGAAUCUUGCAACACAUGUAUGGAGUAUUAAAUAAUGAUGAAAAUAAAAAUUAAUUGUAUAGUUUGUCUGUAAAUCGCGAGACGAAUUUUUUAAAUCUAGUUACUUCAUAAUUUGACAAUAUUUAUCAAAAAAAUAAAAGUGAUAUAAUAUGAAAAUCUAAAAAAAAUAGAUCUAAACAAGGCCUUACGAAAGCAGAGACGCCAUCUGAAUACGGCCGACAGGAAUGCGUGGCGUGAUGGCUCCACUGGUGUGUAGGAGUAUGUACAUGUGUAGUGCUCGGUCGAUUCACCGCAUCUCAACGACCCCGCUGGACUCGAUCGGCAGUUAUAGCGACGGUUCCUCCAUUUGUCAAAAAGGUUAGAAUUAGAUAUAGGCUUAUAGCCAUAUAGGGCGCUCGGCAGUUGGCACUAACACUC
RNAcentral lists this long non-coding RNA (788 nucleotides) under Sorghum bicolor (sorghum). Its description in RNAcentral is "long non-coding RNA (SBIC_LNC018275)". The record is from RNAcentral. Lineage: Eukaryota; Viridiplantae; Streptophyta; Magnoliopsida; Poales; Poaceae.